ACUAUACAAUUGCUCCUUUCUUUUCGAAGACCAAAAUAAACUACUACUCUCUCGCAGACCCUAACCCAGAGAACAAAAAUCUCUCUCCCAAACCCUAACCCAAAUUCGAUGAACAAAAAGAACAAUUUUGAGUUAAUCGCUCUUCUUUUGUAAUACUUUGAAUGUUGUACCUUUGUUAUGCGAGUCUGUGACUGAAUCGAAUAAGGUUUGAUACCUGGGUUGUUAAGAAAGUGAUCAUGGAUCGCAUUUUGGUUGUGUUGAGGUGGUGGAAUGGGAUUAAUAAUUUGGGUGAAAUCGUAUGGAAAUUUGAAUCUCUUGAUCAAGAGUCAUUGGCACACUUGAACAAGGACUCAUGGCAGUUUUCGAGCUAGAAUUUUACAUGCGCUUUCUUGUUUCAGAUGGUCAAUUUUCCAUAUUGCAAAUUUUGCUGCUCCCUAGGUGUGUCUUUGCUAGAGAUGUUGUACUUCACUUAUUGCAACUGCUACUGCUGCCUGGGUGUGUCUUUGUUGCUACGCUGCUGCACACAGUGAAAGGAGUUGGCUACGGUCUUGCAAGUGCUGCCAGCUAGUUGCUGUCUUGUACAAUGAAGAAGUUUUGUUUCUUGAUUUGGUUUCAUUACUUAGUUUGUGUUGAAUUUGAGCGGCUAUGUAUGGCCUUUAAUUAUUAAGUGGUAAAGUUGUACAACUCUUUAGAUGUGUUGAAAUUGAGUUGUAAAUUCUAUUUUGCUUAA
Long non-coding RNA from Amaranthus tricolor (Joseph's coat), 730 nucleotides. RefSeq lists it as uncharacterized. The transcript has 4 exons. The record is from RefSeq and is a predicted model, not a curated record. NCBI's taxonomy places the organism in Eukaryota, Viridiplantae, Streptophyta, Magnoliopsida, Caryophyllales, Amaranthaceae.